RNAcentral lists this ribosomal RNA (610 nucleotides) under Calonarius ochraceopallescens. Its description in RNAcentral is "eukaryotic LSU rRNA". The stretch from base 251 to 404 matches the Rfam family "5.8S ribosomal RNA". Lineage: Eukaryota; Fungi; Basidiomycota; Agaricomycetes; Agaricales; Cortinariaceae. The record is from RNAcentral.
AGGAUCAUUAUUGAAAUAAACCUGAUAAGUUGUUGCUGGUUCUCUAGGGAGCAUGUGCACACUUAUCAUCUUUGUAUCUUCACCUGUGCACAUUUUGUAGACCUGAGUAUCUCUCUGAAUGCUUUAUGGCACUCAGGAUUGAGAGUUGACUUUUUGUCUCUUCUUAUAUUCUCAGGUCUAUGUUUUUCAUAUACCCCAAUGUAUGUUUAUAGAAUGUAAUUAAUAGGCCUUUGUGCCUAUAAACCUUUACAACUUUCAGCAACGGAUCUCUUGGCUCUCGCAUCGAUGAAGAACGCAGCGAAAUGCGAUAAGUAAUGUGAAUUGCAGAAUUCAGUGAAUCAUCGAAUCUUUGAACGCACCUUGCGCUCCUUGGUAUUCCGAGGAGCAUGCCUGUUUGAGUGUCAUUAAUAAUAUCAACCUCUUUGGUUGGAUGUGGGUUUGCUGGCCUUUUUGAGGUCAGCUCCCCUUAAAUGCAUUAGCGGACAACAUUUUGCCAACUGUUCUUUGGUGUGAUAAUUAUCUACGCCAUUGAUGUGAAGCAAAGGUUCGGCUUCUAACAGUCCAUUGACUUGGACAAACUCUCUUCUUAUUAAUGUGACCUCAAAUCAGG